UUUUCAAUAUCCCUUUUCAAAAAUGCCCCCUUUGGCUGUCCAUUUUUAAAAAUGGACAGCCAAAGGGGGCAUUUUUGAAAAGGGGUAUUGAAA
Molecule: non-coding RNA, 93 nt
Organism: Arabidopsis thaliana x Arabidopsis arenosa
Lineage: Eukaryota; Viridiplantae; Streptophyta; Magnoliopsida; Brassicales; Brassicaceae
Source: the annotation of a GenBank genome assembly